AAACCGUUGAAAGGGAAGCGAAUGGAGUUAGCAAUUCGCCCCGCCAGAUUCAGUCGCUCGCGCAUCGCGACGGUCGCGCUCUCGAUCCGCAUGGACGAGUCGCGCUCGGACGCGGUGCGCGGACGGCGCACUUCUGGCGAGCGAGCGUCAGCGUCGGUUGUCGACGGGCGAUAAGGUCGCAAGGAAGGUGGACCGGCCUCGCGGCUGGUUGUUAAGACUUGCGCUCGCAUAGCUCGUCGGCGACCGUGGUCUGCGGCGCGUGCUCGGCUGGCGACCCGACCGAUCGGUCCGGCAUGUCGACCGUGGCGGACGGCACGCCUGUGCGCUCGAACCGCUGCCUGUCGAUCGUGACGGUGUUCGCACACUACGCGCCUAGGAUGCUGACGACCAUACGGCUCCAUCCGACCCGUCUUGAAACACGGACCAAGGAGUCUAACAUGUGCGCGAGUCUCCGGGUGAUCGAAACCCGUGGGCGCAAUGAAAGUAAAGGCCGUCCUAGGACGGCUGAGGUGAGAAGCGGCGUUCACAUUCGUCGCCGCAUCAUCGACCGACCUUGUCUGCUCUCAGAGAGGUUUGAGUAAGAGCGUAUCUGUUGGGACCCGAAAGAUGGUGAACUAUGCCUGAAUAGGGUGAAGCCAGCGGAAACACUG
RNAcentral lists this ribosomal RNA (650 nucleotides) under Dendronephthya sp. D CSM-2013. Its description in RNAcentral is "eukaryotic LSU rRNA". It matches the Rfam family "Eukaryotic large subunit ribosomal RNA", at positions 402 to 866 of the family's 3401-position model. The record is from RNAcentral. Lineage: Eukaryota; Metazoa; Cnidaria; Anthozoa; Malacalcyonacea; Nephtheidae.